ACGGGUGAGUAACACGUGGGUAACCUACCUAUAAGACUGGGAUAACUUCGGGAAACCGGAGCUAAUACCGGAUAAUACUUCGAACCGCAUGGUUCGAUAGUGAAAGGUGGUUUUGCUAUCACUUAUAGAUGGACCCGCGCCGUAUUAGCUAGUUGGUAAGGUAACGGCUUACCAAGGCGACGAUACGUAGCCGACCUGAGAGGGUGAUCGGCCACACUGGAACUGAGACACGGUCCAGACUCCUACGGGAGGCAGCAGGC
This 260-nucleotide ribosomal RNA is filed under the name uncultured Staphylococcus sp. RNAcentral's name for it is "partial 16S ribosomal RNA". It matches the Rfam family "Bacterial small subunit ribosomal RNA", at positions 102 to 354 of the family's 1533-position model. Lineage: Bacteria; Bacillati; Bacillota; Bacilli; Caryophanales; Staphylococcaceae. The record is from RNAcentral.